UCCCUCUUAGCUCAGUUGGUAGAGCGCGUCACUAGUACUCUUUCAUCUCAGGUUCUUAUGACGAGGUCAGUCGUUCAAAUCGGCUAGCGGGAA
Roridomyces roridus is the source of this 93-nucleotide non-coding RNA. The record is from the annotation of a GenBank genome assembly. NCBI's taxonomy places the organism in Eukaryota, Fungi, Basidiomycota, Agaricomycetes, Agaricales, Mycenaceae.